Long non-coding RNA from Chinchilla lanigera (long-tailed chinchilla), 2496 nucleotides. NCBI's taxonomy places the organism in Eukaryota, Metazoa, Chordata, Mammalia, Rodentia, Chinchillidae. The record is from Ensembl.
CUCUCUUCAUCUCACCUACAGAUAGAAUUAUAAAACAUGUAGAUUCAGAUUUCUGAGCUAUCUUUCUCCCGUUUCAUGGCCUUUUGUUUUAACGAAAGAAAAAGAAAAGAAAGUUGCCAGCAUUCAGAAGAAAUCCCCAAUUGGAACUGCAUUCUGAUUUGGAGGUGGAAUUGGCUUUGAGAGACAGAUGGGAGGGUAGUGCCGUCAACUGAGAGCUGACAGCUCCUUGCAGCUCUGUGAUAAAGAUCCAGAUGCGAUCAGCACCUCUGAUGGUAUGGAAGAGGAUGAUACUGCUUUGGCCAUCGAAUGCCUUCACCCAUCCAGGUUUGCCAUGGACUUACUUACUUUUAAAACUCAAACUCCCACAACCUCAUUAGUCCUGAAUGAACAUCUGGCCAUUCUCUACUGCCGUAUUAAAGAGCUACAGUGAAAGAUCAUUAUGUGAAUCCUGGCCUGGGGAACAUGGAGUCUUCCACUUUCAUGAGAGCUCAAACAUUAAGGAUUCAGAUGGUCCAAAAUGAACUGAAGAACAGAGGCCCUUCCCAUAUUUUCUGGACUAUACAAGCCAGAUAUUCCUCAUCUUUUUCCACCUCCAAACAUGAUACAGAAUACAGUUCUUGCUUUCUGCUGAAAACCAAGAACCAGAUUUAAUCUGCUUUGAGAGAAGAGACCAUGCAACAUUUCUUAUUCUGAAGGAAGUAAGCAAAUUCCCGCCACAAAAGCCUAGUCCAAAGGCCCCCAGUUAAGUAAGGGUAGCGCUACUAUUUGAAUAUAAUGCCUCAAGUGCUUUUCUUUCUUUAAGGAGGUGCACUGGCCUCAAACACUGAAUGAAGAAGAAAAUAAUUUGUUCAGUCAAGUGGACUGAUGAAUGUGGACCACAAAAUAAGAAAGCUCCAAAUUCACCCAUGUUCCGAUGAUGGUGGUGACUUAGAACAUAGGUUAGGAGAGCUUGGGCCCUUGCUGCUACGCCUAGUCCUGGGAGACAGGCUAUUCUCAAUGAUUUGGGAUGGCCAGGACUGUCAUUUGGAAUCUCAAGUAAGAAAGGUGAAACUUUACACACCAAUCUCAAGUAAGAAAGAUGAAACUUUACACUUUCCCCGAGCCUAGUUUCAUGUCAGAAACUAUGAAAACUUGCUUAAGGCCAAUUUAGAUUUUUAAAAUGUUAUAGAAAGCCAUGGUAAUUCAUAUAAUAAGACAAGGCCUGUGAGGAACACAGCAAGAGCCAUGACAGCUGAAAAAAAUUAAUUGAAAAGAAAAGAACUACAGAGUUUUGUGUCUCAUCGUCUGGAGAUCCUGGUUUACUUUAUCUAGGCUGAAAAUCAGGCUUCAGUACUAAAAAUCUAGAGGAACCUGGAGGAAUAGCUCAGUGGUAGGGUGAUGUCUGAUGGUGUAUUGAAAUGAACAGUUAAUGAUUACAUUUUUUUAUGUUCUGAUAGAGUAUGUUUAUUAUGCACUCAGGCCUUGUGUUUGGCCUCUAGCACCCAAAACAAACAAACAAACAAACAAACAAAUUAAAAAAAACAAAUGAACAACAACAAGAAUAAAAGCACAGGAAAAAUCUGCCUGUAGUAUGACUAGAGAAGAACAUUUUGUAAGUGUUAUACAGCCCUGCUCCCUCUAAAGUCUUGUGGACAAUAAAGCAAUCUCUAUUCUGCAAAUUAAAAAAAAAAUACUCAUCUCUUUAAAAUAUACACCUGUUGAAGAGUCUUCUUUCUCUCUUAAAUUAUGUGAUAGAAGAAGCCUGAGAUUGAGAAAGAGUAUCUUCCAGCAAAUAGCUUUGUGUCUUAGAAAAGUCAUUUAAAGUGUCUAAAGGUUCAUUUCUUUAUUUGUAAAUUGAAUGAGUUUUUAAAAGUUGCAUGAUUCUGUUUUAGGGACUUAUGUUUUUUGAACUUCUGUCAGAGAUGGGAGUUGAACUGGAACAAAGAACUGGAAACCCAAAAUAUUAUAGGGCUAAGGAAGUUUUUUUUUCUCUUUACUUUCAUACAUUUCUACUUCUUGCUUCCAACUGAGAGAAUCAAUUCUAUGACCACAUGAAAAUCUCAUUAGGGCCAAUAUCUUAGGUUUAUAAAAGACAACCAAAAUUUUAGUUCCAUCUACUUGAGGCCUCCAGGCCAAACUGGAACUGAAUGUCCUAAUUUGUAUUGAAUUAUUUGCCAAGAAAAUAUGGAGUUCUUUUGAUGCAAACAGGAGUGUUCACACCAACAUGUUCUUAGUGGCAGUAAAACAAGCCAGUUCCAACUUGGCUUCUGUGUGCUUCCAGGAGCUCUGCCCUAAUGUUGAUGUAAGUGAGUCCAGCUUGCUCCCGUAGGAAGUUCAAGGUUCACCAUCAUUGGUUUUUAAUGUAUUGUAUCAAAGGCUAAGGCUGCCAGACAUAUGAUAUCCUGAACAAGGAUGGGAUCUGAGGAAAGGCUCCGUGUGGGUGGUAGGAUGUUUAAAGUGUUACAUGCAUGGUAUAAAGAGGAUGCUAAUCCUGGGGUUAUCAUCAGAGAGUCGAAC